Molecule: unclassified non-coding RNA, 332 nt
Filed under: soil metagenome
Description: partial contains 5.8S ribosomal RNA, internal transcribed spacer 2, and large subunit ribosomal RNA
Rfam family: 5.8S ribosomal RNA (bases 1-120)
Source: RNAcentral
GAUGAAGAACGCAGCGAAAUGCGAUAAGUAGUGUGAAUUGCAGAAUUCAGUGAAUCAUCGAAUCUUUGAACGCACAUUGCGCCCUUUGGUAUUCCUUAGGGCAUGCCUGUUCGAGCGUCAUUUAAACCUUCAAGCUAAGCUUGGUGUUGGGUGACUGUCCGCUUCACGGCGGACUCGCCUCAAAAUUAUUGGCGGCCGGUACAUUGGCUUCGAGCGCAGCAGAAACGCGAACUCGGGCCCGUCGUAUUGGCUCCCAGAAGCUAUCUUCACAAUUUUGACCUCGGGUCAGGUAGGGAUACCCGCUGAACUUAAGCAUAUCAAUAAGCGGAGGA